GUUAGGGUUAGGAUAAUGGUUAGGGUUAGGGUUAGAGCUAGGGUUAGGAUAAUGGUUAGGGUUAGGAUAAUGGUUAGGGUUAGGGUUAGGAUAAUGGUUAGGGUUAGGAUAAUGGUUAGGGUUAGGAUAAUGGUUAGGAUAAUGGUUAGGGUUAUGAUAAUGGUUAGGGUUAGGAUAAUGGUUAGGGUUAGGAUAAUGGUUAGGGUUAUGAUAAUGGUUAGGGUUAGGAUAAUGGUUAGGGUUAGGAUAAGGGUUAGGGUUAGGAUAAUGGUUAGGGUUAGGGUUAGAGCUAGGGUUAGGGUUAGAUUAGGGUUAGGAUAAUGGUUAAGGUUAGGGUUAGAGCUAGGAUUAGGGUUAGGGUUAGGAUAAUGGUAUAGGUUAGGGUUAGAGCUAGGGUUAGGGUUAGGGUUAGUACACUGAACAAAAAUAAAAACGCAACAUGUAAAGUGUUGGUCUCAUGUUUCAUGAGCUGAAAUAAAAGAUCCCAGAAAUGUUCAAUACGCACAAAAAAAAUAUUUAUAAACAUUUUAUUCACAGGUGUGUUUACAUCCCUGUUAGUGAGCAUUUCUCCUUUGCCAAGAUAAUCCAUCCACCUGACAGGCGCAAUAAACUGAUCACACAGGUGCACUUUGUGCUGGGGACAAUAAAAGGCCACCCUAAAUGUGUAGUUUUGUCACAACUCAAUGUCACAGAUGUCUCAAGUUUUGAUGAAGCGUGCAAUUGGCAUGCUGACUGCAGGAAUGUCCACCAGAACUGUUGC
This 760-nucleotide long non-coding RNA is filed under the name Salmo salar (Atlantic salmon). Its description in RNAcentral is "lncRNA (ENSSSAG00000115105.1)". The record is from RNAcentral. Lineage: Eukaryota; Metazoa; Chordata; Actinopteri; Salmoniformes; Salmonidae.